UGCCCCUGUUCAAAGACGUCACCACCACAGAGAGCCAACUCAAGCUCGGUUUGACACACAACACAACACGAGAGGCUGCACCGGGGCGCAGGAGCCAAGCCAUGUCACGUUAACGGCGGAGGGGGCAUCGGUGGCAAACUCUUCGCCCGGGAAAUGCCCUUCAUGCUGCAGCUCCCGAGGAGAGAAUGAAGCGCAAAAGCGAGAAGAGGCGAACCGAGUCGAGGAAAAAACGCCGCGCAGCCCACAGCAGCUCAGAGGCGGAGCUAAGCUCUGAUAUUUACAUUGAGAUAACAGAUCAACUAUAUUUUGCCAUACUUCAUCAAAAGAUCAAGAGCACAGCUGACCGACACUUUUUCUGCAUAGAUGAAGAGCUGGUAUAUGAGAACUUCUAUGCGGACUUUGGUCCCCUUAACCUGGCCAUGUUUUAUCGCUUCUGUUGCAAGCUGACAAAGAAGCUCAAGUCAAUUACACUCAUGAGGAAGAAGAUCAUUUUUUUUACUUGCGGGGAUCAGAAAAAACAAGCCAACGCUGCCUAUCUAAUAGGAUCGUACGCAGUGAUGCAUCUAAACAUGACACCAGAGGAUGCCUACAACCUGCUGGUAUCCAGGAAUUCAUCUUAUCUUCCAUUCAGAGACGCCUCGUUUGGAACCUGCAUGUACAAUCUGGACAUUCUGGACUGCCUGCGUGGAGUUCACAAAGCUGUGCAGUACGGCUGGCUGGACUUCUCCAACUUUGAUGUGGAAGAGUACGAGCACUACGAGAGGGCGGAGAACGGAGACUUUAACUGGAUAAUUCCUGGGAAGUUCCUCGCGUUCAGUGGCCCUCAUCCAAAAAGCAAGAUAGAAAAUGGGUACCCUUUACAUGCUCCCGAGGCCUACAUCCCAUACUUCAGAAAACACAACAUCACCACUGUCAUCAGACUCAACAAGAAGAUGUACGAUGCAAGACGUUUCACAGAUUCAGGCUUUGAGCAUCAUGACCUGUUCUUUGUAGAUGGGAGCACACCAAACGACACCAUCGUCAGAAAGUUCCUCAACAUCUGUGAGAACGCAGAGGGAGCUAUUGCGGUCCACUGCAAGGCUGGCCUGGGAAGAACCGGUACGCUAAUCGGCUGUUAUAUGAUGAAACAUUACGGCCUGACUGCAGCGGAGGCCAUCGCAUGGAUACGGAUCUGCCGGCCAGGAUCCAUCAUUGGACCACAGCAAAACUUCGUAGAAGAGAAGCAGAACACCCUCUGGGCAGAGGGAGAUGGUUUCCGGGAGAAGAAGCUGAAUGAGCGGGAAAACGGCAAGAUGGCAGUGACCAGGAUCCUGUCUGGAGUGGAUGACAUCACAAUCAACGGUAGCAACAAAAACAAGGCAUCCAAGAAAGAAGAAAUAGAGCUGUACAAUGAUGAAGAUGAGAGAAACGGCGUCACCCAGGGCGAUAAACUACGAGCCCUGAAGAGCAAGCGGCAGGCCAGGUCGUCUUCAGGUUCUCUGUCGCAGGUGGUAGUGUUCUGCUGCAGCCUCAUGGGCACGGCGUGGCCGAUGUGUUGCCUGCCGUUCAAAAGGUAGCAGAGAGAGGCAGAGAGAGGGACAGUGGGCAGAGAAAGAGGAUGUGAGGUUUUGUAUGAAGGAGUGGAUAUGCACUUAGUGAAUGCGUUUCAUUUACACGCCUUCCAUUGUCUGGCUGGUGGACGCACUUAGCUGCUCUGCUUCGAUAUAAAGGCAUUCAGUCACUUGCAGAGGUUCUCCAAACCAUCAAAUGUUUUUCUGAAUUUUGUCACUUUAUAGCCACUAACUUCAAUGGGAUUUUAGAGACAUUAGAGAAAUACUAAAAGCCCUUUUUCAUUCUACCAAAUAUGACACUGAAAAUUUCUGUGAGAAAGAGCCAUAAAAGCCCAUGUAAGGGAAAUACAACAAAACUAAAACUGCACAUCGUCUGACAAAAACAUCCUAAUAGUGAAACAUGGUGGAGGUAACAUCAUGCUGUGGGGAUAUUUUUCAGAGUUCUUGUGAAGAUGGCUAGAGCUUAAAACAGGACAAUCCUGGGGGAAAAAGCUUGCUGGAAGCUAAUAAAAGACAUAAGACUCGGGUGGAGGGUCGUUUCCCUAAAUUUACAAAUUUACAACCAGAGCUACAACAGAAUGGUUCGCAACAUAUCAGUCAGUGUGUUAAUAAGGACCAGUCAAACUCCAAAUGUAGGUCAAGUUGUUUGUGCUUCAGUCUGACUGAUUUUACAAGGAAGAAUUGGCAGGAAGGUUUUCAAAAACUCGACAUCCUCUUAAAGAGUUGGUUCCACGUGGUUCUACAAAGUGCCUACUCAUUAUAGCUUUAAUCGUCCAUUUAACUUUUACACACUGUGAUUUUGUUUAUUGCAUAAAAUCUCAGUAAAAUACAUUGAAGUUUGUGUUUGCAACGUGACAGAGUGAAAAUGUUGUAGUUGUACAAACACCUUUGCAAGGCACUGCAUCCCAGAUAUCUUCUGUCAAUUAGGGCCUAUAAAUAAAGUCCACUGUAUUUACUAGCAGCACCAGUUGUUCAACUGAUUCCAGAUAUAAAUAAGAUCUGGAAUAGCUGAACUGAAGGUUUUGGUUCUUGGCUUGCACUGCUGACUUGGCACUACUCAUAAAAUUGUUAAGAAACACUUGAGCCUUUAUAAAAACCUGCUGUAGCUACUUCCUUUUUUGGUCAGUUAGGUCAUUUUCCUGCACCAAAUAUUUAGCUGUAGGUUUUCCCUUUUAAAGUAAGUAUACCGUAUUGUAGUUAGUUUGAUUUAUGGCUUUAUUUGUGGUUGUGUAAGGACAGUUAAUCACAAAACAUCAUGCAUAAAGUUCUGAGGGUGAAUUGGAGUUAAAAGCAGAUUCUCAUGCAUUCUCAGGGGGAAGUUGAGACAGAACAGGAGGUUUACUUGCACUUUUUAGGGUAUAUGCUGUAUCAAUGUAUAUCCUGCUGUACAGACAUAAUUCAGGGCUGAAUUUCACCGUCUGGCUCCAUUGUUUUGUUGCAUAACACUGCAGCGCAUGUUCAAUUGCAGGGACAAUUAGAAGAAUGCUUAUCCAAACUUUUGCCCAUCUCUUCUGCCGUUUUCCAUGCAUGACAUAAAGUACUGAACUCCAUUGGGAACGCAUGCAUGCCUGUGCCUCAGUUUCGAUCACUGUUUGUGUCUGACAUGUUAUAAUGUUAGGCUGGAGUCACUGUCGAUUGCCUGUUGUUUUUCCAUUGCCUUUAUGACUGGAUCGGUGUUCACAUACCACCUGAGCUUUUCACUCCUGCAGGUUUCCAACUCUGUCAGCUUCUGUUGAAGUUGGCAGUUUCAUGAAAUUAAAUUAGAUAAUCCAUGCAGUUGAAACCACAUAGUUGCAUAAACUGUUGUUAAGAAAAUAAAUAAGUCUAACCUAAGGUGAAACACUCAGUCAAUCAAGAAUUAAUCAAAAUGGAUUUUGAUUAUUAUUUUAUUAAGACAUUAAGCAGAGAAUAUGAGCAGUGACUCCUCUAGCUAAUCCAGGGAAGUGAAGAAAAGAUGAAGGCACAUCGUUUUUAAUAUUCACCAGCAGGCUUACAAAGAGGGGAGGAAAAAAAGGGAGUAUCCAAACAGUUUCAGUUUACUACCCAAAUCUGUAACCUGCAGACUGUCACCCUGAACAGUUCAAACCCAGUACAGAAAAACCCUUUAUUACGUGUUUCCAGCAUUCAACAUGACGGGUGCUUUAUAAAUAAAAUUGAUUGACUGCAUGAUUGAUUGAAAUACAAUGUGUUGUCACAACACUGUGUAAGGAGAAAAAAAUGUCUCACUGACUGUUUAAUGCUUAAUCAGACAUAACAGGUCCUGUAAUCCAAUUCAAGGGGAAAAAUUUAUAAGUUUUAAGAAAUUGUAAUAUUUUAUUAUUUAACAAACAGAAACAGUUGGUAUUCAUAAUUUACCUUACACAAGAAAAGUUCGGAUUUAACAUCCAGUGGUGACAAAAUAAAGAUGUUCUUUUUAUACAGCGUAUGUCAACAUCUGGUUUCAACUGUUCCUAAAUUCUUGUUGGGUUUCAUAUUGGUUGAGAAGUCUGACAAUUAUAAUAGUCUACUUUGUGUAAUGAAAUACAUAUACUGUCAUGUUCAAUUCGUUUCUGCACUUCGAGUCAUUUAAGGGGACGUGCGGGUGUCGACUGCUGUUAAACAAUGUCUGCAAUGUUAGAAUAUCAGAACAAACUCCAGCCGUGUGGGACGAUUGGAUGCAAGACUUUGUGAAGGAGGGUGUUUCAUCUAAUCCAGUCCCAGUGGAAAAGCACAACAUGAGAGGCUUUGUGUCCUGCCCAGACGUCUCUUGUCUCUCCUUCCUUUUUUUUCCCCCCCGUUUGCUCUUGUUGUUGGAUUUGUCCUCCUUUCAGAUGGCUGGUAGCCAUGCUGCUCUCCCUGUGUAGCCUUGCCCUGUGGUGGAUUGUGUAUGGCUUCCCUUCUUCCAUCCUGCAUUUCUGUAUAGACGGGUUAGGAUUUCUCUGAGUUCUGCCGCCCAUCAGCGCCCCCUCCCCCCCAAACCUGUCCUGCCCCUCCUUCUGGAGCUCUAACUGAGAAAUGCU
Molecule: RNA transcript, 4549 nt
Organism: Poeciliopsis prolifica (blackstripe livebearer)
Lineage: Eukaryota; Metazoa; Chordata; Actinopteri; Cyprinodontiformes; Poeciliidae
Gene: cdc14b
Gene name: cell division cycle 14B
Exons: 13
Source: RefSeq, a predicted model, not a curated record